This 6050-nucleotide long non-coding RNA is filed under the name Heterocephalus glaber (naked mole-rat). RNAcentral's name for it is "lncRNA (ENSHGLG00000050215.1)". Lineage: Eukaryota; Metazoa; Chordata; Mammalia; Rodentia; Bathyergidae. The record is from RNAcentral.
UUCCCAAGCCGGGGGACUGGGGAGCCCUGAGCAACUCUUGAAGCUGUCCCCAACCAGGCAGAGACCACAGGACACCUUCCCACUGAGGUCCUCACCUACUCCUGGGAGGUGCCACAGGCCAAUGGGGCAGGGGACAGCGAGGUCUGUCUGUCCUUGCACUCUGGUUCUGGCCUCAGGUGGCCUUGGAAGCAGCCUCUUCGCUUCCUCAACCUCAGUUUCCUCAUCUGUAAAAGGAGUGGAAGUGGAAGCUCAUGUUGGCCUUGCCCUUAGCAGGUCUGGCUCAGCAGUCCUGCGUGGGAGCCAGGAAUCUGCAUUUCUGCCAAGUACCCAGUGAUGGACUCAGGGACCACACUUUGGGGGUCACCACAGUAGAUCAUUUCUGGGCUCAGAUCAGAACCCACAGUUUCUGACACUGUGAGAGCCACAGAAAGAGCCUGCAACUUCCAGUUCCCCACCAGUGGGUGUCCUGUCCCUGGAGGCCCUGGCUUGGGAGGCGCAGGUAGGAGGGACAGAGCAGGUUCCACUGGAGCAUCACAUGCAGGGCUGAGGGCAGGCACAGGCUCUUCUGAUUUAUGUGUCCCUCACAGCCAAAGGGAAGGUUGUGUGAUUUUGUUUGCGGUGUUUUCCGGUGGGCAGGUGUCCUCCUGCAGGACCUGGGUGGGCUUUCAGGAUGGCAUCUGCGGUUGCCAGAAUGGAGUCCCCUCCCACCAACACCUGUGGCCGGGGGCAUUGCUGAGUGGAUCUAGAAAUCCCCCGCCCCCAAAGGCAGGGGCUUCAGCAACAGCUCCACGAGCCCAGCAUGCCUCUCUGCCCUCCCUCAGGGACUCCCUCUUGUCUGUGAUGCCAAGUCUCCCUGCCUGUCUCCCUCUCACACUGUCUCUCCUGACAUCUUGGCACCUGGAACUCCUUUCUCCAGGCCGCCUAGAGCUCAACUGCCCAUCACCUACCAGUUAUCCUCAUGAGAGAAUCUGAUUGGUCCCAGCCUAGCCAAUGGGCUGGCUGCUCUGGAUCAGGUGUCCACCCCUGAUCCAAUCAGGCCUGGCUGGGAGAGGCAGGGAGUGGGACAGAGUGACAGCUAGUUAGUUCAUCCUUCAGGGCCACUUUAUUGUACUAACCCAAUUGAGACCUUAUUCAUGGUGACCAGGAAGCAAAUUAACCCCAAGUCCCACUUAUCCGCACCCAUCAUCUUAAAAUUAUAAAAUUAUAAAACAGAACCACUCCUUGAUUUCCUGGGCCCCUUGGGCUGUAUCAUCCUAUGUCUCACGCAAAAAACUUCUUAACCCUGACUCUCCUGUCCUCCCUCCUGGCGACAGUGGCUGCCCCGUCCCACCUUCUCAGCCUCCAUAGCUGGCACUGCUCACUUCCUGGCCUCUGGGUGUUGGACCCUGUAGCCUCUGGUCCACACUAGCCUGGCAGGCAGCCCAUCUGUGGCUUCUGGUGCCCUUGGUGGGCCUCCCCAAGCCUACCCUGGCCGAGUGGCUGAAAACAACACGCAUUUCUGUUGUCACCAUUUUGGACAUCAAAAGUCUGAAAUCAAGUGUAGCUGGACAAGGCUGGUUCCCUUUGGAAUCUGAGGGAGAAUCUGACCCUUGCCUCUGUCCUGGCUUCUGGAAAGAUCGCAGGUGGCCUUCAUUCCUGGGCUUCUAGCUGCUUCAUGGCAGCCACUGCCAGCCUGAGGCCAUCUGACAACUUUCCCUGUGUCUGCUCCCAUGGACACCAGUCCUGGGGUUUAGGCCCCACAUUACUCCAGUGUGACGACCUCCUCACCCCUGAGCAAAGACCCUGUUGCAAACCUCGUUCUCUUCCAGUACUCUGGGUGUCAUGAAAUGUAGGGGUGCCAUGGAGCACACUGUGGGGUCCCAGAUGCAACAUGUCCAAGCCACAUCUGUUUCCUGUCCCUCAUCCUUGGCUCCACCCCUUCCGGUCCCCAUCUGAGGGAUCAGACCCACCAUCCUUACAGCUGCCCACAGCUAGAAUCAUUGUGAAUCUGCUUUCCUUCAUCCCCCCAUCAGAAAGCCUCUCGACCUCGGCUCCAGAGCGAUCUCCCCACAGCCACCUCCCCGGGCUGCUCUACCUGGCCCCACCCCACCUCUACUCCUCCAGUGUCUUCUUGCUGCCACUGAAGCCAGAAUAGUCUUUUUAAAAAUAGCUUCGUAAAUUUAUAAUGUUGGAAAGAUUGAAACUGAGAUAGAAACAGAGAGGACAGUGUCAUGAACUCCCGUUUACCACCCAGCCUCAGCGGGAUGGUCAGCUCACAGCUGAUCUUGGGUUGGCUGCCUGUUCUUGAAGCCACCUCCCUCCAGUCCUAGACUCCAUGUGACCAGAGCUUUUAAAAAUAUAAAUGAGAGCCAGGUGUGGUGGUGUUCACCUGUCAUCCUAACCCCUCUGGGAGGCUGAAGCAGCAGGAGGAUCAAAAGUUAGAACCCAGGGCUGGGGAUUUAGCUCAGUGGUUCUACCGCCUGCUGUGCAAGUGCAAGGACCCAGUUCGAUCGCGGUACCAAAAACAAAACAAAACAAAACAAACCAAAAAGUUAGAACCCAGCCUAGGCAACUUACCGAUUUGAAAAAGACCUUGUCUCAAAAUGAAAAAUACAAAGGGCGGUGGUAUAGCUCACUGAGAAGGCCCCUGGGUUCAAUCCCCAGUAUCACAGGAAGGGGAGGGAGGGAGGAGAGAAAAACAUAAAUCCAAUCUGGCCCUUCCCUUCCCAGCUCACAUGGGCAGUACCAUGGCUCUGAGUAACAUCCAGGCACUGUAUGGUGGCCCAGAAGACCCAGACCCCUCCCUGUCCAGCUCCUGCCACACCCAUCCUUGCCCCAUAUUUGUGACACUGCUGGUGAGGUGAGGUCAUCCCCACACUGUGUCCUGCUCUUCCAUCCUUUGCACCUGCCAGUCCUCCUGCCCAAAACCCCUGCCUUGGAGGAGGUGGACGGCUCCUCCUCCCCCUGCAGGGCUCAGCUGAACUCCAGUUUCCCUCAUCCUUUGUUCAAAGCUCAAAUCACAGUCUGGAACCACUCUGCUCUGCGCUUAUUGUGUGCACCCCUCCCCAGAACAUCAGCCCCUUGAAGGGGGACCCAGUCUGUCUUGAUCACCUCUGGAUCCCCAGUGCCAAAACAGGACAGGAAUGAGAUGUGCUUUUCCAAGAGGGCUUCCUGGGUCACAGGCUGGGGACGGAUUUUUGUUUUUGUGUUUUUGUAGUACUGGAGAUUGAGCCCAAGGCCAUCACACUGAGCUCCAUCCCUAGCCAUUUUUUUUAAAUUUUUUUUAUUUUUUUUGGUACUGUUGAACUCGGGACCUUGCACUUGCGAGGCAGGUGGCAGAACCACUAAGCUAAAUCCCCGGCCCCUCCCUUUUUAGUUUUUUAUUUUGGGGCAGAAUAGUCUCAUUAAGUUGCCCAGGCUGGGCUCAAACUUCUGCAGUCUUCCUGCCUCAGCCCCCCGCCCCGUAGGGAACAUUUUGUGGCCCACUUGUGCCCACCUUGUCCCCCACUUGGGAUAUCAGUAGGCUCAGUCAUCUGGACUUUGUGUUCUCUGUUACCUACACAGUGCCUCUGCAGCUACUUUCAUUAAUGUAGGAAAACCCAUUUUACCAGGACAAACCUGUUUCAUGAACUAGACUCAACUAUUUUUGAGAACUGGCAGAAAGUGACCAAGGCCUCAGGGAGACCAAGGGGUAUGUGAUAUGUCGCUGUUCUUUGGGAGCCUCCAGCAUCUUGAGGACACACCUGUCACUGAUUAAAAAAAACAAGCCACACACACACACACACAAAACAAGCCACAGCUGGAAUUUUAGCACUCAGGAGGCUGAGGCAGGAGGAUUGCCAAGAGUUUGAGGCCAGCCUGGACUACAUAGCAAGACCCUGUCAAAAGUAAUUUUUUUGUGUGUACCAGAGAUGGAACUCAGCACUUUGGGUUUUGAGGCAGGUGGCGACACCACUGAGCUAAAUCCUGGGCCCAAAAAAUAAAUAAAUUUUUUUAAAAAUUAAAGAAUAAAACAAGCCCUUGGACUAGGCAUAGUGACACAUGCCCAUAAUCCCAGCUACUGGGGAGGCUGAGGCAGGAGAAUCACAGUUCAUGGCCAGCCUGGACCACUUAGCAAGAUCUGUCUCAAGAAACAAAACAUAAACACUAGCCCUUGAGCCAGGCAUGGUGCUGCAUACCUGUAAUCCCAGGUAACUGGAAUGCUGAGAUAGAAGGAUCACAUGUUCAAGGCCAGCCUAGGGAAUUUAGUAAGACCCUGUCUCAAGACAUAUUUUUAAAAAGGAAUGGGGAUGUAGCUCAGUGGUAGAGCCCUUGUCUAGCACAUUUGAGGCUCUGGGCCCAGGCCCCAUUGCACACAAAUACACACACUCCUAGCCCUUGGUUACCUGACAGGAGUGAGUCCCCAGGCAGUUAAGUGCUCUGUGCCACAGAAAUGGGGUGGACACCAUGCAAAAGAAAAGGGGAAGAGCCACCUGCCACGGGUGGAGGUAAGGCUUGAUCCAGCCUCCAGUAUCUGCACUGGGACUGGAAAACAGGGACCCCACAUACACACACACACACUUCCAGAGCCUUCUUGUGGGGAGGAAGUGGAAGUGUCUGUUCUGGGCCUCACUUCCUGGAACCCGUGGGCCUUUCCAAGCCCUUGGUUUCCCUGUUGGAGCAAUUGUUCUUCUGGGUGGUGCUGGCCUUCCCUUGUCCUCUCGUGCAGAGCCUUAGGGGAAAAAACCCCAAGAAAAAAGAUCGCAGACCCACGGACACGGAUGUCACUUCCAUGUAUGAAUCACAGUGUGUACAUCUGUCCCUGUUCAUUGGUGUCCUGAGGAGUUCGUUCUGUGAUCCUCGGUUCCCAGAAUCCAGGAAAGCACAGACCCUGUCACCCUCUGUUCUUCAGGGGAUAAUGACAAGGACAAAUGUCCUGCUCUGCUCAGCAGAGAUACAACUUUCUUUUAACUUUCAAUCUGCUGUUGGUGGAACCCAGGGGUGUGGGUCCCAGGACUGUGGGGUUUUGUGCCUCAGUUUACCACACCCGCAAGGGGAAAAGGGUUUGCUUUACUCUGUCCCACCUCUGCCCAAGAUGAGCCUGUUUUCCAAGCUGGGGGUGCCGGGCAGGGUCUCGCCCAUGCCAGAGCUCGUCCUGGGCGGGAGAUGCCAGCGACGACACCCUGAGAAUGGGGGGCUUUGUUAGCGGAUGAAGCAGGCGUUGUGACGCCGGGACAGAAGCGCCCUUGUGCUCGCUGGAGACCGGGCGGCCUCUACAGUGCCCGGGUGGGUGGGCAUCGAUCCGGCAGGCUCUGACCAGGGUGGCGGGAGGCUCAAGGCCUGGGUUUCUUUUUCAAAACCCUUCAUUCUCUGAGUUCUUCCUGUCCUGUGCACGCCUGGGGGCCGAGAAAUGGGGAAUCGUUUAUCCAUCCAUGCCCCUUAGGCCCGGCCCUGGGUCAAAAAUGAGCUCGGAGGACCGGGGCUUUAGCUCAGUGGUGCCACCGCCUGCCUCGCAAGCGCAAGGUCCUGAAUUCGAUCCCCGGUACCGAAAUAAAAAAAUAAAAUAAAAUGAGCUCAGCCCACAGGCUCCCCGAGGGGGUGCAGAGAGGCUGGCCCUGGGGGUGUCGGGAAAUCGGGGUGCCCGUUGCCGCCCCAGUUGGGGUGCUGUUAAGGUGGGGUCCUCAAAGCCCCCUCUGCUUUCCACGCACCCCAACCCAGGCUCCUCUCUUUCCGGAGCGACUCUGGCUCGUCGACCUGCUCUUCGUCCCGUGCACUGAAGAUGACGCCUCCUCUUUCUCUCUCCCUCUCCCUCUUUCCGUCUCCGGCUUCCUCCUCCCGUACCCUCCCCACGCCCCUCCCGCCCGGCCCGGGCGGAGCAGACCCAGACGCAGCUGGAGCAUGCGCGCAUUGGGGAGCUGGAGCAGAGCCUGCUACUGGAGAAGGCGCAGGCGGAGCGGCUGCUCCGAGAAUUGGCGGACAACAGGCUGACCACGGUGGCCGAGAAGUCGCAUGUUGCAGCUGGAGGAGGAGCUGAGCCUGCGGUGGCGGCGAGAUCGAGCAGCUGCAGCAGUGCCUGCUGCACGCUGGGCCCC